UNAAAAAGAUAGGAGUUGAACCUACGUC
Molecule: transfer RNA, 28 nt
Filed under: Polypedates leucomystax (Java whipping frog)
Lineage: Eukaryota; Metazoa; Chordata; Amphibia; Anura; Rhacophoridae
Description: partial tRNA-Gln
Source: RNAcentral